This 1119-nucleotide ribosomal RNA is filed under the name Pseudoalteromonas sp. RNAcentral describes it as "bacterial SSU rRNA". It matches the Rfam family "Bacterial small subunit ribosomal RNA", at positions 57 to 1176 of the family's 1533-position model. The record is from RNAcentral. Lineage: Bacteria; Pseudomonadati; Pseudomonadota; Gammaproteobacteria; Alteromonadales; Pseudoalteromonadaceae.
GCAGUCGAGCGGUAACAUUUCUAGCUUGCUAGAAGAUGACGAGCGGCGGACGGGUGAGUAAUGCUUGGGAACAUGCCUUUAGGUGGGGGACAACCAUUGGAAACGAUGGCUAAUACCGCAUAAUGUCUACGGACCAAAGGGGGCUUCGGCUCUCGCCUUUAGAUUGGCCCAAGUGGGAUUAGCUAGUUGGUGAGGUAAUGGCUCACCAAGGCGACGAUCCCUAGCUGGUUUGAGAGGAUGAUCAGCCACACUGGAACUGAGACACGGUCCAGACUCCUACGGGAGGCAGCAGUGGGGAAUAUUGCACAAUGGGCGCAAGCCUGAUGCAGCCAUGCCGCGUGUGUGAAGAAGGCCUUCGGGUUGUAAAGCACUUUCAGUUGUGAGGAAAGGUUAGUAGUUAAUACCUGCUAGCUGUGACGUUAGCAACAGAAGAAGCACCGGCUAACUCCGUGCCAGCAGCCGCGGUAAUACGGAGGGUGCGAGCGUUAAUCGGAAUUACUGGGCGUAAAGCGUACGCAGGCGGUUUGUUAAGCGAGAUGUGAAAGCCCCGGGCUCAACCUGGGAACUGCAUUUCGAACUGGCAAACUAGAGUGUGAUAGAGGGUGGUAGAAUUUCAGGUGUAGCGGUGAAAUGCGUAGAGAUCUGAAGGAAUACCGAUGGCGAAGGCAGCCACCUGGGUCAACACUGACGCUCAUGUACGAAAGCGUGGGGAGCAAACGGGAUUAGAUACCCCGGUAGUCCACGCCGUAAACGAUGUCUACUAGGAGUUCGGUUUUUCGGAACUGUCUUCCAAAGCUAACGCAUUAAGUAGACCGCCUGGGGAGUACGGCCGCAAGGUUAAAACUCAAAUGAAUUGACGGGGGCCCGCACAAGCGGUGGAGCAUGUGGUUUAAUUCGAUGCAACGCGAAGAACCUUACCUACACUUGACAUCCAGAGAACUUACUAGAGAUAGUUUGGUGCCUUCGGGAACUCUGAGACAGGUGCUGCAUGGCUGUCGUCAGCUCGUGUUGUGAGAUGUUGGGUUAAGUCCCGCAACGAGCGCAACCCCUAUCCUUAGUUGCCAGCGAUUCGGUCGGGAACUCUAAGGAAACUGCCGGUGAUAAACCGGAAGAAGGUGG